AUCCCUCUAGCUCAGUUGGUAGAGCAUGGUGUUUGCAACACCAGGGUUGUGGGUUCGAUUCCCACGGGGGGCC
This 73-nucleotide transfer RNA is filed under the name Salmo salar (Atlantic salmon). It matches the Rfam family "tRNA". Rfam says of the family: Transfer RNA (tRNA) molecules are approximately 80 nucleotides in length. Their secondary structure includes four short double-helical elements and three loops (D, anti-codon, and T loops). Further hydrogen bonds mediate the characteristic L-shaped molecular structure. tRNAs have two regions of fundamental functional importance: the anti-codon, which is responsible for specific mRNA codon recognition, and the 3' end, to which the tRNAs corresponding amino acid is attached (by aminoacyl-tRNA synthetases). tRNAs cope with the degeneracy of the genetic code in two manners: having more than one tRNA (with a specific anti-codon) for a particular amino acid; and 'wobble' base-pairing, i.e. permitting non-standard base-pairing at the 3rd anti-codon position. The record is from Rfam by way of RNAcentral. Lineage: Eukaryota; Metazoa; Chordata; Actinopteri; Salmoniformes; Salmonidae.